This 233-nucleotide unclassified non-coding RNA is filed under the name uncultured Atopostipes sp. RNAcentral describes it as "16S-23S ribosomal RNA intergenic spacer". The record is from RNAcentral. Lineage: Bacteria; Bacillati; Bacillota; Bacilli; Lactobacillales; Carnobacteriaceae.
AAGGAAAUGCCAUUAGGGCAUACGGAACCUUGCACAUCGUAUUACUUUGUUUAGUUUUGAAGGAUUUAUACCUUCAGACGUUGUUCUUUGAAAACUAAAUAGUUGAUUCGACACAAAUGUUAAUUUAUUAAUAUUUAUAUAGAAACAACACCGAGAAAUAUAGAGUCUAUUUAUUGUAAAGAGUGCAAUAACAAAGAAAAAACCAAACGCUAUAAUAAUACCUUUAACCGACA